Mycena epipterygia is the source of this 90-nucleotide non-coding RNA. The record is from the annotation of a GenBank genome assembly. Lineage: Eukaryota; Fungi; Basidiomycota; Agaricomycetes; Agaricales; Mycenaceae.
GCACCAGUGGUGUAUGGUACACACGCUGUUUCUGUUAAUGAGAAGCUUUUUCUCAAUCAGCGAGUAGGGGUUCGAUUCCCCGCUGGUACA